This 484-nucleotide ribosomal RNA is filed under the name uncultured bacterium. RNAcentral's name for it is "partial 16S ribosomal RNA". It matches the Rfam family "Bacterial small subunit ribosomal RNA", at positions 30 to 507 of the family's 1533-position model. The record is from RNAcentral.
AUUGAACGCUGGCGGCAGGCCUAACACAUGCAAGUCGAGCGGAUGAAGGGAGCUUGCUCCUGGAUUCAGCGGCGGACGGGUGAGUAAUUCCUAGGAAUCUGCCUGGUAGUGGGGGCUAACGUCCGGAAACGGGCGCUAAUACCGCAUACGUCCUGAGGGAGAAAGUGGGGGAUCUUCGGACCUCACGCUAUCAGAUGAGCCUAGGUCGGAUUAGCUAGUUGGUGGGGUAAAGGCCUACCAAGGCGACGAUCCGUAACUGGUCUGAGAGGAUGAUCAGUCACACUGGAACUGAGACACGGUCCAGACUCCUACGGGAGGCAGCAGUGGGGAAUAUUGGACAAUGGGCGAAAGCCUGAUCCAGCCAUGCCGCGUGUGUGAAGAAGGUCUUCGGAUUGUAAAGCACUUUAAGUUGGGAGGAAGGGCAGUAAGUUAAUACCUUGCUGUUUUGACGUUACCAACAGAAUAAGCACCGGCUAACUUCGUG